AAGCAGGUGGCUCUUGGAAAUGCCAACGUGCCAGAGAGGGAAUUUUGUCCUCAGCCAUGGCCAGGUGCCGCCCGUGCCACAUCAUUUUUUCCCUGAACCCCCCACAUCAAACAAUCCACAGGCCUUGAACAAUUUUGUGCCUGGAUCCAGCAUGCCAUCCCUUUCCCAGGUGUGGGAGCCCUCUGUGAGCGUGGUGCAGCCGGUGUUGGUGGUGCCUGAGGCCGGGGGCUGCCGGUGGGGUGGUGGUGACCUCCUCCAGCAGUGUCUGUGGGCAGCAGGCAUCACCGAGCAGCUGCUGGAAGCCGAGGCCAAGCGGGACCAGCUCCCCGUGGCUUCCCACAGCAUCCCACGGAUCUUCCCCGGAGCUGGGGCCCAGCAGCCGCUCCUCCAGCCCUUGGUGCAGCACCUCGGGCCCUUCCCCAGCCUCCAGCCGGCCGUGGGACACCUGGGGGGACAGCAGGUGAUGGCCACCGCCCUCCCAGCGCAGCAGGUCGUGUUCCUGCCGCAGCCUCUCCAGGUGCCGCAGAGGAUCAUCCUGCAGAUGAAGCAGCCAGGCCCUACCAUGCUCACCCUGCUCCCCAGCCCAGCCUCCUGUGUCCUGGGGAGUGGCCAGGGGCCAAGGCCACCAGCCCACAAACCCCACUGCCACCCCCAUCCUGCCACCCCAUCACACCCUGGAGCAGCAGCACUCCCCACGCCCCACGCUGUGGGCAUUGAGCUGCAGCAUGCUGAAAACUUCAGGGACCCAAAAUGUGGGAAAAUGGAUUAUUUUGUUUAUUUUUAAUAAAAAUUCUUG
This 796-nucleotide long non-coding RNA is filed under the name Parus major (Great Tit). Its description in RNAcentral is "lncRNA (ENSPMJG00000008789.1)". Lineage: Eukaryota; Metazoa; Chordata; Aves; Passeriformes; Paridae. The record is from RNAcentral.